CUCUGGUCAGGGGCUGAAUGGAGAGAUGAGUCCAGUUAAAGUAAAAUGAAGAUGAAGUGCUGCUAGAAAAAUCCAGCAGCUGGCCAGCUGUCUCUUCAAUGCUCUGAAGAUUCCCAGCUGAUACUGGAAAGGGGAGACAAAGGGAAAAUAAGCCUCACAGUUUGAAGCCAGGUCCAAAUGGCAAACCAACAUAUGCAUGGCCUUGUCUGCAGUCUGGGGAGUGUUUUGUUGGCUUCCCUUGGUGUGUUACCACAUUCCACCCAAGAGUAAAUCUGCUGGUUAGCGCUGGAUCCUCCUGCUCCUACAGCUGAAAGAAAAGGCUUCAGAGGCAUUCUCUUUUACAGCACCUUCCCCAGCCAUGUGGAAAAGAGCUGCUGCAGGGUUCCUGAGAUCCAGUAGCCAGGUGGGAUGGAAAGGGAGCUCCAAGCAAAACAAUGAUGAUGAACAACCUCAGUGGGCUUGGCUCACCUGGCAGGUGAAUUUGCUGAGCUCUGUCCAAGGAUGUGCUAAUGGGAGCUUGAGGGUAAGCAGCACCAAUGAACUAAUACAAAGUUUGUGUGUAAAAUGUAUUUACCAGUUCUGUUGCCAAGGAAAGUCAAGUUAAAAGCAUUCUAGAUCAUUUCUAUGAUUUGGAUUUUCUGAGUUCAGUUUGGGCAUAGAUUUAAUACCAAAUUUUAGGUGAAUUCUCCAGGAUAGUUUAACUCAUUUCGAUGUAGCAAAAUUAUGUAGUACAGUGAAUGAUAACUAAAUGCUGUUUGGAACAACAACAAAAAUUAAUAAAUAAGGAAAAUAUAUAAUUUUAUUGGAGUAG
This is a long non-coding RNA of Zonotrichia albicollis (white-throated sparrow), 811 nucleotides long. The record is from Ensembl. NCBI's taxonomy places the organism in Eukaryota, Metazoa, Chordata, Aves, Passeriformes, Passerellidae.